UCUGCCACAAAUGUCCAGUCACGGGGUUGUAUUGUAGUUGCCUGUCUAGUUUUACAAGAAUCUGUGAAACUGUUUUCCAGAGUGACUGUCCCAUGUUUUAUGCUCCCAAUAGUGGGGAAUGGAUCCAGUUUAAUCUGCAUCCUCUCCAGUCUUUGGCAUGGUUCCUGUUUUUUAUUGUGGCUAUUUUGACAGGCGUGGAGUGAUAUCUCAUUGUGGUUUUAAAUUUCCUUUCCUCAAUGGCUAAUGACGAAUAUUCUUUCACAACAGUCUUUUGCAGAUGGUAUAAUUUAAAAGCUGGAAAGAACCGGGCAGACCCAUUUCAAUGAUUGAGCCCACAAUUAAUGUAUUUGGAUGAGAGAGUGGCCCCAGGAGUCAGAGGGAGAGCACUUUGUGCUGAACUCAGCCCUCUUAAUCCCAGCAGUGAUAUUUACAGCAGACCCCAUCUCUAGGACGCGUCAGGGCCGAUUUGUUUGCUCUGAUUUGGUGGUCAGGCUGAUUAAGAAUGUAUGUAAGUCAGAGUUCCCUUGUGGUGCAGUGGGUUAAGGAUCUGACAUUGUAACUGCAGGGACUCAGAUCAGUCAAAUGGGGAUUCAGACAAAAAGGGACUCAACCUAUGACGCAGGUUUGAUCAGUCCUUGGCCUGGGAACUUCUACUUUUCAUGGGCACUACCAAAAAAAAAGAAGGUAUAUAAGUCACCCAGUGACUGCAACUGUGUUGCAUUUAGCACCUAUCUGUUAUUCCCUAAGAACUCGAUAAAUAACUGAAUUUAUAUCUGUAUCUAUGUCUGUUAUCUCGCCUUAACGUUGGAGCUAACAUUUUUCCUUUCUUUAAAGUAGGCAUAAUAGAAAUUUAUUAUUAUGCUCUUAUUUCAGAGCAGGAAAUAAAUAAAGAAAAUGGUUUUUAAAUAUUUUCCAAAAUAGAGAAAGCGGGAAAAAGAAAAAAUAUGUCUGUUCAGUCUAUCCUGUGGGGCUUACUACAUGUUACUAGGGUUAGUAACUCCUUGUGGCCCAGGAGUUCAUCCUUCUGAUUUGCAGAUGAGGAAACAGGAGCUCACAGCCCUGAAGCUCCCUCACUUUUGGAGCUGCGCAGGAGGGAUUCAGAGGAGAAGGGACUGAGCAGGGAGCCCAGUGUCUCUGACUGAGCUUAGGGCCUGCCAUGUUCACAUACAGGACAGGAGCCCCAGAAGCUGAGGUCUCUGUUUACCGCGAAGACCUUUGGGGGGGGUGGGGGGAGGUGAAGGCAGCUGGGAAAUUGCAGACAUUCCUGGGGGUCUUCAACAUGUGCAUGGAUAGUUUAACUCCUAGCCCAGUUCAUAACUUGUUCUGCUUUGCAGAGAGACCAGCUAUUUUACAUAAAAAUGCCCAGGAAUCUGAUGAGCACAUCCAAAGCCCAUCACCACUCUGGCCCCAGGCUGUGCAGAUCCGGAUUGUAGCCGGAAUAAAGCAAUAGCCAGAAUAUGCUUAAGACCAAAAGAAAGGGGUAUACAAGGUAUGAAUCUGAUUCAGAAAGAAGGGGCUUCGAAGUUAGGAGAUGUGCACUGCAGGGAGAGAAGCAAGCUCUGGCCCUGGAUGGGGUUGGGAGGAUGCUGAGAAGAUAAAGUUCCAGCCUCUGGAGCUUCCCGAAAUACAUUACAGAAGCAGCAACAACCCAGGUGAAGUGAAGGGCUGCCAGAGGCUCAGGGAGAUGUAUGUCCUUGCUUGGGGUCACUGAACGAUGUGAUUUUGAGUAUCUGUAUAUGACAGUGACAAGAGUCAGGAGCCAGUGCAGACUUUCUCAGGGUGCUUGCUGCUGAAGGAGAUGGGAUGAGCCUCAGAGAAUCACCCUCCAUUACUAUCUUCCUGAAGAAAGCAGGGCAGCAAAGCUGUUCUUCCGCACAAUUCACUCCCUAAAACAAUUAUGUUUGUUCCUUGAUGUCCUGAAGCAAAAGUAGCCGAUGUAAUAGCAACUGGAAAAGAAAAAAAUUAACUGGUACGAUGACUGAUUUAUAGCUUCAUCAUUACAUAAAUUAUAACGAGAGACAUAGGGAAUGGCUUUUUGGAAGCACUGCCUGCUGCAGAAGGGCAAAGCCUUUGCUUCUUUCCAGCUAUUGUUAAAUUGGCUAAAAAUAAGGUCUGUGAAAUAUGUAAACAUCACCCACCUACCCCCAGUGUGGAAACUGUGAAUUAUUCAGAUACUAGCUCUAGAUAGAUAGAAAAGAGUCGGAUGUUGGCCUAAGGCCUUACGUUCCUGUCGGUGACAGGCUCUGAGCUUGUCAAAACGGCUCCUCAAUCACCUUGUUAAUGGUAUGGUACUUCAGUGACUGAACCGGCUGCAUAAUUAGAAGCAUUCUCCUCUGGCUGGAAAGAAAAACUGCCAUGCUCUCUAAGAGAAAGAAAACCGACUAGUUAUGCCAGAUUAUAUAAUUGAAGACACUGCAGAAGGAACCCUUUAAAAAAUGGGAAGGUGCAUUCAUUUGGGCUACUCCAGCAGAGGCGCACUGCUGUUCCUUUAACUCCCAGCCAAGUCUCAUCGCUGUUGUGUCAGUGAACCCAGUGCAGCCCAAAGGAUGACAGGACAGAGUCACUGGCAACCUGAAUGCGUGGGGUCUCUUUGCAUUUGCCUGGUCACAUCUUGGGCUAACCAGUCCAGCAAGAGGUGAACAUUUCUGCUUUUAUCAUUGGUAUAAGCCCAGUUCUUUUUUUUUUUUAAACCCUCAUCUCUCUUUGUUCUUUAAACAACAAAAAUCUGGUGGUAGGUUCCUCUGACCUCAUGGAGUCCAAAACCGUCUCUCUUUCUCCCUUGUUCUUUCUCUCUCUGGCCAUUCCUUUAUUUUCCUUCCCCUUUUCUCUUUCAUCUGACUUCUCCACCCAAAAAGCCAAGGGAAGUGAGGUAACAAUAACUUUGUUGCAUUUCACCUGGCCCACCCAGAGAAAGCUAUUUCUAGGCAAUGCGGAAAACCCAAACCUUGCGGAACUCAGCUGGCCCUCUAAUCUAACAACCUCUGUGUGCUGCAAAGCCUAAUGUUUAAUUUGAAAAACAAUCCGAAAAUAGCAUGAAAGGAAACGUGGAAUUUGCAUAGCUAUAUAUAUGUUUAAGAUAGUCGUUUUCCAAAACACUGUGUUUGAGAGCUGGCCCUUUACUUGAAGUUGCCUGAAAUUCAUGGACUCCUCCGAGAUAAGGAGUGUAAUUUUCACUUGAGUGAUGGUUGAUUUUCUCUCCUGUCCUCUUGAUACUAAGGAGACUCAUCUCAAACCCUAUCCCACCGGAAAGCUGAAUGCUGACACUGAGAACUGUUUGCUGACUAAAACUAAAGUAACAGCAACAAUGAAGAUAUGGCCAUUUCUAUUUAAUGUUGGGUUGUCAGACUUUGGAGUUUUUAAUAAAAUCUUCUUGUUUUCUCUUUCUUUCCCUUUAUUUCUAUCUUCUUUUUCUCUUUUAUUUUCUUGCCAUUUUGUUGGUCUUUUUCUUUCCUUUUUUUUUUUAAGUACUUUUCUGUAUCUUUUUUUUUUUUUCUUUCAAAGUUUAAAUUGCACUAACACCUGACUUUUUGUAUGCAAAGCGUUGGUUUGGUUUAUUCUGUCUGCCUGCAGAUGGACUUUUUUCACGACAAGUUCUUUGGAGGCUGACUUCUAUUUGCAAAACUCUAAAUUUAAUAGCCAGAGAAGAAUAACAAAAAUCUCUAUCGUUUCAGUUUCCAAGGAUUCAUUCAUAGUCAAUUUGCCUUUUAAAACAAUCUUACUGACAAGUGCAUAAGCUUCUCAUUUAGAAAGGGUUGCUCUACAGGUCAAGGUGCAGGACCUAGAGGGUGCAGAACCCAUGGGGUGAAAACAUUUAAGGAAGAUUUAUAACUAGUGUGUAGAUCUUUACAAAAGGGAUUCUUAUCUUGAUAUGCAUCAGUGGAUCCAUGGGUAGAAGUUAGGGUGUCCAUGGACUGAGAAAGAAAAAAAAUUACUUCUUUGUUUCCUAUGCUUUAGUCGAAAUGUAGGUUAUCAAUAGGAACAAAACCCCAGGACCCACCACUAGAUUUUUUUUGUUGUUGUUCUUUUUGCCAUUUCUUGGGCCGCUCCUGUGACAUAUGGAGGUUCCCAGGCUAGGGGUCCAAUCAGAGCUGUAGCCACCAGCCUACACCAGAGCCACAGCAAUGUGGGAUCCUUAACCCACUGAGCAAGGCCAGGGAUCGAACCUGCCACCUCAUGGUUCCUAGUCGGAUUCGUUAACCACUGAGCCGCUAUGGGAACUCCCCACCGCUAGAUCUUUCUCUUUAACGUUUUAUUUAUAUAUUUAUUUUUAUUUUAUUUUUAGGGCUGCGCCUGCUGUGUAUCAAGUUUCCUGGGCCAGGGAUCAAAUCUGAGCUGCAGCUGUGACUUAUGCUGCAGCUGCUCUGGCAACAUUGCAUCUUUUAAUCACUGCUUCAGGCUGGAGAGCAAAUCAUGCCUCUGCAGUGAUCUGAGCCGCUGCAGUAGGAUUCUUAACCCACUGAAACACAGGGGAACUCCUUUAACAAGAGGAGAGCACAUACAUUCUUUUAACACAAUUACAAAUCUUAUUAUAACUAUUUCAAUAUAAUUGUUUUCCUUAGUAAUCCUAUGCAUUUUAUUUGAUGCAUUCAAAAAUUACUGCUAGAUGGAGUUCCCUUUGUGGCUCAGUGGUUAACGAAUCCAACUAGGAACCAUGAGGUUGUGGGUUCAAUCCCUGGCCUUGCUCAGUGGGUUAAGGAUCCAGUGUUGCUGUGAGCUGUGGUGUAGGUCAUAGACAUGGCUAGAUCCCACAUUGCUGUGGCUCUGGCAUAGUCUGGUGGCUACAGCUCUGAUUAGACCCCUAUCCUGGGAACCUCCAUAUGCCGCAGAAGCCGCCCUAGAAAUG
RNAcentral lists this long non-coding RNA (4843 nucleotides) under Sus scrofa (pig). RNAcentral's name for it is "lncRNA (ENSSSCG00000054123.1)". Lineage: Eukaryota; Metazoa; Chordata; Mammalia; Artiodactyla; Suidae. The record is from RNAcentral.